CGUAUUUCCCACGACCCGUAAAGGCAGCAUUGGGCGCACGCGGACACAGGAAGUAGUGUGUGAAGGAAUCCGGGAGUGACUAAAGUUUUAAACCAAGAAGCAGAAGCAGAAGAAGAAGGAGGAGUUCGCGGGACUUUAAUUUGAACCAAGGGACAAGAGCACAUACACACAAUAACUGCUCGUUGAACUUGGAAAAAUACAGAUGUUUGUUUAACUGUUGAACAACUUCACACAGAUCACUGCAUCAACAGCCACAAAAAAUUGAGCUUGGUGCCGUGGGGGGGACCU
Molecule: long non-coding RNA, 288 nt
Filed under: Gouania willdenowi (blunt-snouted clingfish)
Lineage: Eukaryota; Metazoa; Chordata; Actinopteri; Blenniiformes; Gobiesocidae
Description: lncRNA (ENSGWIG00000026312.1)
Source: RNAcentral